GGGAACAACGACAGGCAUUCAACUCAGAUUUACUGUAAAACUUGAACAGAUUGGGAAUUACGGAGUUCCUUAAACUGUCUCUGAAAAUAAAUAUUUCUGAUGUAUCUGGCAAGUUGAAGGGGAAAAAGCAACAAUCCCCGAACUCAUUAAACUAACACAUCUUAAUUUGGAGUGGCCACACUUCAAAGUGCUCAAUAGCCACAUGGGGGUAAAGCUAUGGUGUCAGUCAGCUUGGGUUUAAUCUGUGCUUGGAGAGCCUGAAGCCACCUGGAAAGAUUGAGCAGCUGAAUCAAAUCUCCUGGUUGGAGUUACAAUAUGGACUGAAUUUAUACUGAUGCCAUGACAUAAAAUGAAAAGAUCUCUUGAAAGAUAAAUUCCUGAUAUCUGCCUGCCAUUCUCAUAGAAGCAGAAUUCAGGGGGAAAGUCCGCGUUUUGCCUCAGAAGGGCAACCAUUUCCUAUUGUCUGGAGGCUCGCGAGAAGUGCAAAGGACAGCCACUACCACGAGCUCAGGAAAAUCGAGGUGGACACCAGGCCUCGGCUUCU
This is a long non-coding RNA of Leopardus geoffroyi (Geoffroy's cat), 544 nucleotides long. RefSeq lists it as uncharacterized. Lineage: Eukaryota; Metazoa; Chordata; Mammalia; Carnivora; Felidae. The transcript has 4 exons. The record is from RefSeq and is a predicted model, not a curated record.